GAAGAAGCAGACGAAGAAGAAGAAAAAGACGACAGGGGCGGGGGUGCUGAAACAUGGAGGGACGUGAGUCAACCUUAUGUGGGGAGCUGAAAUAUAGGGAUGGAUUAAAAAAGAAAAUUAACGUAGAUAUCGAAAAGAACCUAACGUCAAUGUUAGUGGGAAUCAAAAAAUUUAAUGACGAUGUGUCAGGGCUUCUAACUGAACUUGUUGAACAAGAAAAACCUUUUGGAAAUGACGAAGGAGGAGAGUGCGUGUCCGACGACGAUGAAGAGGACAGUGAUGAAGCGAGAGAGGAAACGGAAGCCAAAUCACAUACCCUUGUUUCAGAGCCUCCAUCAAAAAAGUCUAAAACCCGGAGGUGACGAUUGUAGGUGGAAGCAGCGGUGUCUGGUAUCAAAGCAAGGAUGUUGUCUCCUGAUCAUGGCGAACACCUCCAUGACACAUCUUGUUAAAUGUUUUUAUGAUUAAAACGCAUCUUAAGAACAUCA
This is a long non-coding RNA of Lampris incognitus (smalleye Pacific opah), 488 nucleotides long. RefSeq lists it as uncharacterized. The record is from RefSeq and is a predicted model, not a curated record. The transcript has 2 exons. NCBI's taxonomy places the organism in Eukaryota, Metazoa, Chordata, Actinopteri, Lampriformes, Lampridae.